Molecule: long non-coding RNA, 531 nt
Organism: Amphiprion ocellaris (clown anemonefish)
Lineage: Eukaryota; Metazoa; Chordata; Actinopteri; Pomacentridae
Source: Ensembl
GGAAAAGUUUCAGUGCAUUCCGUUGAUGUAGACGGCGUGAAAACGUAAACAACAAGUAUGCCGGCUCACUGUGCUGCAUACAGUUACACACUACGUCGUACGAUUGAGACAAGGAAACUUGGAAUGACUUUUCAUAGGUUUCCCAGAGACUAUGGGUUGAGGAGGAAUUGGAAGUUUGUCGGCUUAGACCUGGUGUCAUUCCAUCAGUGUUAAACUUCCCGGCUCAUCUUGGAAGAGUACGUGCCAGAAAGACCACGACCAAGCAGCCUUGAGAUCUUAGACAGCGUCUCCCUGAGGUCCCUCUCUAUCUCCCCACACAUCCACCAACCACUGGAACACAUCUCCAAAGUUCUGCUGGACCAGCUCAGCUUCCCCUCAGAAGAAGUGGUGCCACCUGCCAGAUGAAGGAGCCUUUUGAGAGGCAGCUGGCAUCGUGAUUGGACUGUACUUUGGUCUGUUCCAAUCCAGCUUCAGCUCCAGAGACGGCAGGCGGGACGAGUCAACGGAGGCCGGAUGGACGAAGGUAUGCAG